Molecule: ribosomal RNA, 433 nt
Filed under: uncultured bacterium
Lineage: Bacteria
Description: partial 16S ribosomal RNA
Rfam family: Bacterial small subunit ribosomal RNA
Source: RNAcentral
AACGAACGCUGGCGGCAUGCCUAACACAUGCAAGUCGAACGAGACCUUCGGGUCUAGUGGCGCACGGGUGCGUAACGCGUGGGAACCUGCACUUAGGUUCGGAAUAACUCCCCGAAAGGGGUGCUAAUACCGGAUAAUGUCUUCGGACCAAAGAUUUAUCGCCUUUGGAUGGGCCCGCGUUGGAUUAGCUAGUUGGUAGGGUAAAAGCCUACCAAGGCGCCGAUCCAUAGCUGGUCAGAGUGGAUGAUCAGCCACACUGGGAGUGAGACACGGCCCAGACUCCUACGGGAGGCAGCAGUAGGGAAUAUUGGACAAGGGGCGAGAGCCUGAUCCAGCAAUGCCGCGUGAGUGAUGAAGGCCUUAGGGUUGUAAAGCUCUUUUACCCGGGAUGAUAAUGACAGUACCGGGAGAAGAAGCCCCGGCUAACUCCGUG